UACGUAGGGAGCGAGCGUUGUCCGGAUUCAUUGGGCGUAAAGAGCUCGUAGGCGGCUUGGUAAGUCGGAUGUGAAACCUCCAGGCUCAACCCCGGGCCUGCAUUCGAUACGGGCAGACUAGAGUUCGGUAGGGGAGUCUGGAAUUCCUGGUGUAGCGGUGAAAUGCGCAGAUAUCAGGAGGAACACCGGUGGCGAAGGCGGGACUCUGGGCCGGUACUGACGCUGAGACGCGAAAGCGUGGGGAGCGAACAGG
RNAcentral lists this ribosomal RNA (253 nucleotides) under uncultured bacterium. Its description in RNAcentral is "partial 16S ribosomal RNA". It matches the Rfam family "Bacterial small subunit ribosomal RNA", at positions 524 to 776 of the family's 1533-position model. The record is from RNAcentral.